Molecule: ribosomal RNA, 492 nt
Filed under: uncultured bacterium
Lineage: Bacteria
Description: partial 16S ribosomal RNA
Rfam family: Bacterial small subunit ribosomal RNA
Source: RNAcentral
AGUGAACGCUGGCGGUAGGCCUAACACAUGCAAGUCGAACGGCAGCACAGUAAGAGCUUGCUCUUACGGGUGGCGAGUGGCGGACGGGUGAGGAAUACAUCGGAAUCUACUUUUUCGUGGGGGAUAACGUAGGGAAACUUACGCUAAUACCGCAUACGACCUACUGGUGAAAGCAGGGGAUCUUCUGACCUUGCGCGAUUGAAUGAGCCGAUGUCGGAUUAGCUCGUUGGCGGGGUAAAGGCCCAGCAAGGCGACGAUCCGUAGCUGGUCCGAGAGGAUGAUCAGCCACACUGUAACUGAGACUCGGUCCCGACUCCUAGGGGGGGCCGCAGUGGAGAAUAUUGCACGAUGGGCGCAAGCCUGAUCCAGCAAUACCGCGUGGAUGAAGAACGACUUCGGGUUGUAAAGCCCUUUUGUUGGGAAAGAAAUGAAGCAGGUUAAUACCCCGCUGUUAUGACGGUACCCAAAGAAUAAGCACCGGCUAACUUCGUG